GCCUCCUUAGCUCAGUGGUAGAGCAUCAGUCUCAUAUGGCAAAGAAAGUGUGCGCUGAGUGUCAUCAGUUCGAUCCUGAUAGGGGGCA
This 88-nucleotide transfer RNA is filed under the name Terfezia boudieri ATCC MYA-4762. It matches the Rfam family "tRNA". From Rfam's summary of the family: Transfer RNA (tRNA) molecules are approximately 80 nucleotides in length. Their secondary structure includes four short double-helical elements and three loops (D, anti-codon, and T loops). Further hydrogen bonds mediate the characteristic L-shaped molecular structure. tRNAs have two regions of fundamental functional importance: the anti-codon, which is responsible for specific mRNA codon recognition, and the 3' end, to which the tRNAs corresponding amino acid is attached (by aminoacyl-tRNA synthetases). tRNAs cope with the degeneracy of the genetic code in two manners: having more than one tRNA (with a specific anti-codon) for a particular amino acid; and 'wobble' base-pairing, i.e. permitting non-standard base-pairing at the 3rd anti-codon position. Lineage: Eukaryota; Fungi; Ascomycota; Pezizomycetes; Pezizales; Pezizaceae. The record is from Rfam by way of RNAcentral.